UAACCAGGUUCCUGUGGAGGACACGGCUUUGCUAAGCCUGCCUGCCUUCUGUGUCCUCCUCUGGGCCUGAGUGCAGAGGGUGAGAGUCCACAUCCCCAGAACCAUGGGGACUGAACAGGAUUACUACAGAGCAGCAAAGAAGUGGAGCACCAAAGGAAGGAGUACACAACACCUUGUGAACACAGAAUUCUGGUGGACCCACAAUACGUGGGAGUUCAGUGAGACUUAAAGAAUAAAAGUGUCUUCCACCUGAUUUGCAAGGCAGGAGAGAGGUAAUUUCACAAGGGGACUGUGGCAUCCAAAGCACAGCAACUUGAGUUGAGUCACUUCAAUAUUCUCCCAUAAAUUCCCUGGGACAACUUUAAAAAGAGUCGACUUUACAUCUUCUGUCUACAAUCAUCUAUUUUCACAUCAAGAUGAACAACAUUAUCCUCAUCUGCGGGAGGAUCUGAGACUAGCGCCUCAACACGAGGCUUUCUACUUAAUGUG
Molecule: long non-coding RNA, 489 nt
Organism: Pongo pygmaeus (Bornean orangutan)
Lineage: Eukaryota; Metazoa; Chordata; Mammalia; Primates; Hominidae
Exons: 3
Source: RefSeq, a predicted model, not a curated record